CCUACGGGAGGCAGCAGUAGGGAAUAUUGCUCAAUGGGGGAAACCCUGAAGCAGCAACGCCGCGUGGAGGAUGAAGGUUUUAGGAUUGUAAACUCCUUUUGUUAGAGAAGAUUAUGACGGUAUCUAACGAAUAAGCACCGGCUAACUCCGUGCCACCAGCCGCGGUAAUACGGAGGGUGCAAGCGUUACUCGGAAUCACUGGGCGUAAAGAGUGCGUAGGCGGGGUAAUAAGUCAGAUGUGAAAUCCUGUAGCUUAACUACAGAACUGCAUUUGAAACUGUUACUCUGGAGUGUGGGAGAGGUAGGUGGAAUUCUUGGUGUAGGGGUAAAAUCCGUAGAGAUCAAGAGGAAUACUCAUGGCGAAGGCAGCCUGCCGGGGUGCGACUGACGCUGAGGCUCGAAGGUGCGGGUAUCAAACAGGAUUAGAUACCCCUGUAGUC
This 440-nucleotide ribosomal RNA is filed under the name uncultured bacterium. RNAcentral describes it as "partial 16S ribosomal RNA". It matches the Rfam family "Bacterial small subunit ribosomal RNA", at positions 338 to 795 of the family's 1533-position model. The record is from RNAcentral.